AAUGAACGCUGGCGGCAGGCCUAACACAUGCAAGUCGAACGGAUCCUUCGGGAUUAGUGGCGGACGGGUGAGUAACGCGUGGGAACAUACCCUUUGGUACGGAAUAGCCUCGGGAAACUGGGAGUAAUACCGUAUGUGGUCGAGAGACGAAAGAUUUAUCGCCAAAGGAUUGGCCCGCGUUGGAUUAGGUAGUUGGUGGAGUAAUGGCCUACCAAGCCGACGAUCCAUAGCUGGUUUGAGAGGAUGAUCAGCCACACUGGGACUGAUACACGGCACAGACUCCUACGGGAGGCAGCAGUGGGGAAUCUUAGACAAUGGGGGAAACCCUGAUCUAGCCAUGCCGCGUGAUCGAUGAAGGCCUUAGGGUUGUAAAGAUCUUUCAGGUGGGAAGAUAAUGACUGUACCACCAGAAGAAGCCCCGGCUAACUCCGUGCCAGCCGCCGCAGUAA
RNAcentral lists this ribosomal RNA (449 nucleotides) under uncultured bacterium. RNAcentral describes it as "partial 16S ribosomal RNA". It matches the Rfam family "Bacterial small subunit ribosomal RNA", at positions 29 to 523 of the family's 1533-position model. The record is from RNAcentral.